GGAGUCUGCAACCCGACUCCAUGAAGCUGGAUUCGCUAGUAAUCGCGCAUCAGCCACGGCGCGGUGAAUACGUUCCCGGGCCUUGUACACACCGCCCGUCAAGCCAUGGAAGCCGGGAGUGCCUGAAGUGCGUGACCGCAAGGAGCGUCCCAAGGCAAUACCGGUGACUGGGGCUAAGUCGUAACAAGGUACC
This 193-nucleotide ribosomal RNA is filed under the name uncultured bacterium. RNAcentral describes it as "partial 16S ribosomal RNA". It matches the Rfam family "Bacterial small subunit ribosomal RNA", at positions 1300 to 1500 of the family's 1533-position model. The record is from RNAcentral.